Molecule: ribosomal RNA, 253 nt
Filed under: uncultured bacterium
Lineage: Bacteria
Description: partial 16S ribosomal RNA
Rfam family: Bacterial small subunit ribosomal RNA
Source: RNAcentral
UACGUAGGUGGCAAGCGUUGUCCGGAUUUACUGGGUGUAAAGGGCGGGUAGCCGGGCUGACAAGUCAGAUGUGAAAUCCGGGGGCUCAACCCCCGAACUGCAUUUGAAACUGUUGGUCUUGAGUAUCGGAGAGGCAGGCGGAAUUCCUAGUGUAGCGGUGAAAUGCGUAGAUAUUAGGAGGAACACCAGUGGCGAAGGCGGCCUGCUGGACGACAACUGACGGUGAGGCGCGAAAGCGUGGGGAGCAAACAGG